This 460-nucleotide ribosomal RNA is filed under the name uncultured bacterium. RNAcentral describes it as "bacterial SSU rRNA". It matches the Rfam family "Bacterial small subunit ribosomal RNA", at positions 340 to 786 of the family's 1533-position model. The record is from RNAcentral.
UACGGGAGGCAGCAGUGGGGAAUAUUGCACAAUGGGCGAAAGCCUGAUGCAGCUAUGCCGCGUGUAUGAAGAAGGCCUUAGGGUUGUAAAGUACUUUCAUCGGGGAGGAAAAAAACAAAACUAAUAAUUUUAUUUCUUGACGUUACCCGAAAAAGAAGCACCGGCUAACUCCGUGCCAGCAGCCGCGGUAAUACGGAGGGUGCUAGCGUUAAUCAGAAUUACUGGGCGUAAAGAGCACGUAGGUGGUUUUUUAAAGUCAGAUGUGAAAUCCCUGGGCUUAACCUAGGAACUGCAUUUUGAAACUGAAAUACUAGAGUAUCGUAGAGGGAGGUAGAAUUCUAGGUGUAGCGGUGAAAUGCGUAGAUAUCUGGAGGAAUACCUGUGGCGAAAGCGGCCUCCUAAACGAAUACUGACACUGAGGGUGCGAAAAGCGUGGGGAGCAAAACAGGGAUUAGAUACC